UUUUUAUAGAUAUAAUUGUACAAUAUUACCUGCUCAAUGGAUUUCCUAAAUAGCAGNGUAAGCUCUAAGGUAGCAUAAUCAAUAGUCUUUUAAUUGAGGGAUAGUAUGAAUGGUAAAACACAUAGAAUUUAGUUUUAAGAUUAUAAUUUAAAUUUAGUAAGUUAGUUAAAAUCCUAACUAUAUAUUUAGGGACAAGAAGACCCUAUAAAGUUUAACUUUUAAGUUUUAUUUGUAGAACGAUCGAGUUUUGUUGGGGUAACAUUAUAAGAUAAAAUUUUAUAAUCAUGAAUUUUACUAAGAUUUUAUGAACCAUUUUUAGUGAUUAUAAGAUUAAAUUACUUUAGGGAUAACAGCAUAAUUAAAAUUUCUAAGCUCAAAUUGACAAUUUUGAUUAUGACCUCGAUGUUGGAUUAAUUUUCGUAGUGGCGAAGCAGCUAUUACAGAAAGUCUGUUCGACUUUUUAUUAAUUACA
Molecule: ribosomal RNA, 472 nt
Filed under: Cyphophthalmus serbicus
Lineage: Eukaryota; Metazoa; Arthropoda; Arachnida; Opiliones; Sironidae
Description: partial 16S ribosomal RNA
Source: RNAcentral